This 292-nucleotide ribosomal RNA is filed under the name uncultured bacterium. RNAcentral's name for it is "partial 16S ribosomal RNA". It matches the Rfam family "Bacterial small subunit ribosomal RNA", at positions 773 to 1060 of the family's 1533-position model. The record is from RNAcentral.
GUGGAUUAGAUACCCUGGUAGUCCACGCCGUAAACGAUGAUAACUAGCUGUCUGGGCACAUGGUGCUUAGGUGGCGCAGCUAACGCAUUAAGUUAUCCGCCUGGGGAGUACGGUCGCAAGAUUAAAACUCAAAGGAAUUGACGGGGGCCUGCACAAGCGGUGGAGCAUGUGGUUUAAUUCGAAGCAACGCGCAGAACCUUACCAGCGUUUGACAUCCUCAUCGCGAUUUCCAGAGAUGGAUUUCUUCAGUUCGGCUGGAUGAGUGACAGGUGCUGCAUGGUUGUCGACAGCU